GUCCUUUUGUUAAUAAUUUAAGGUUUAACCUGCCCACUGAUUUAUAUUAAAUGGCCGCGGUAUUUUGACCGUGCUAAGGUAGCAUAAUCAUUAGUUUUUUAAUUGAAAGCUGGAAUGAAUGGUUGAAUAAGAAAAUAACUGUCUCUAUUUAAAUUUUUAUGAAUUUUAUUAGUAAGUAAAAAAGCUUAUAUGAAUUUAAAAGACGAGAAGACCCUAUAGAGUUUUAUUAUAAGAAAAUUUUAAGUUUUUAGAAUUUUAAUUUUAAAGUUUUUGUAUAAUUUGAUUGGGGUGAUUGAAAAAUUUAAUAAACUUUUUUUUUAUAAGUUCAUUGAUUUAUGUUUAGUUGAUCCAUUAUUAAUGAUUAAAAGAAUAAAUUACCUUAGGGAUAACAGCGUAAUUUUUUUUGAGAGUUCUUAUCGAAAGAAAAGAUUGCGACCUCGAUGUUGGAUUAAAAUUUAUUUUUGGUGUAGAGGCUAAAAAAUUAGGUCUGUUCGACCUUUAAAAUUUUACAUGA
RNAcentral lists this ribosomal RNA (514 nucleotides) under Aerenea posticalis. Its description in RNAcentral is "partial large subunit ribosomal RNA". It matches the Rfam family "Bacterial large subunit ribosomal RNA", at positions 1825 to 2603 of the family's 2925-position model. The record is from RNAcentral. Lineage: Eukaryota; Metazoa; Arthropoda; Insecta; Coleoptera; Cerambycidae.